This 497-nucleotide ribosomal RNA is filed under the name uncultured bacterium. RNAcentral describes it as "partial 16S ribosomal RNA". It matches the Rfam family "Bacterial small subunit ribosomal RNA", at positions 28 to 507 of the family's 1533-position model. The record is from RNAcentral.
GAUGAACGCUGGCGGCGUGCCUAACACAUGCAAGUCGAGCGAACGGACCAGAAGUUUUCUUCUCUGAUGUUAGCGGCGGACGGGUGAUUCACAUGUGUAUAACCUACCUCUCAGACUGGGAUACUUACGCGAAACCGUAUCUUCUACCGGAUAAUAUUUUGCACCUCAUGGUUCAAACGUUAAAUUCGGUCUUUCUGUCACUUAUAGAUUGAUCCGCGCUGCAUUAGCUAGUUGUUAAGGUAACGGCUUAACAAGGCUACGAGGCAUAGACGACCUGAGAGGGAGGUCGGCCACCUGGGAAGUGAGACACAGUCCAGACUCCUGCGGGAGGAAGCAGUCGGGAAUCUUACGCAAUGGGGGAGAGCCUAACAGAGCAAAGCGGGGUGAGGGAUGAAGGAGUAAGGAUCGGAAAGCUCUGAUAGUAGGGAUGAAGAAAAGUGUAAGUAACUGGGAAGAUAAUGACGGUACCGGAUCAAAAAGCAACGGCUAACUACGUG